CUGUUUAUAGAGGAGGCUUUGCAUAAUUGUGCUCUCAGUUACCAGCUGGGAACAAACCCGGAGCCCCCAGGGGUGGGCCAGCGCUGUCUUGCUCAACUUUCUCACUUUCAGUUUGUCCCAAUUAGAAGCACUUAUACAGGGAUUAUCCCUGAUUUUCACCUGGGCACUUCAGGGUCUAAUUUCUACCAGGAAUAGCAGCUCUGGGCAGGCUACACAUUCUUACCUCUUAAAGCUUGCUUUUAUUUCUUCUUUUUUUUUUCCUGCGUAACCCUGGGUGAAGGUGUUCAGGAAUCUCCUCCUGACACCUUUCUUUCCAAAUCAAACACCCUCAGGACUUGCUGACCUUGCCAGGGUUGAUAAAUGCCUGAUCAUUUUGCUGCACUGUGAUCCAGCAGACUUGGGAGCAGAGAAGGAUCCCACAGGACUGGAAAAUUUCACUUUUUGCUUAAGCCCAAGGUUUCGUUUGCCUCCCAUGAAGACAGAAGCUGUUCUAGCUUUCACUGCCAUCUCAGUGGGUUAGACAUGAGCUUCUCUGGUGAAUAAAAAAUGAGUUAGAAAAUUUUAAACUUGGGUUCCCAUUCCAGAGCAACUGCAGUGGGAUGAGUCAGGCACUGCUGCCACAGGAUAAUGAAGGAGAAUGUGUAUUUUAAUGAGCCCAUUUCAGAGCAGAUGCACUAAUAGCUUUCACAGCAUCUCACAGCUGAGGGUGGAGGGCUGCUUGGGGUUCAUCUGCUCCUGUGAUGGCCAGGUGGCACCAGAAAUGCUCUGCACUGAGCCCUGGCUUUCACCCCUGGGCAAGCAGUGCUGCUGGGGCAGAGAGGGACCUGCACCCCUGCCCAGGGGCAUCUUCCCUCUGCAUCCAGCUCAGGGAUCCCACAGACACCUCUGGCUGCUGACCUUGCACAGCUGAAGCUGCUGAAGCUGCUCUGCUCAUGGGUCCCUUCUGCACGUAUGGAAGCCCCUCUGCUAUAAAAGGAACAUUUCUGACCCCUGUGUGGCAUUCCUGCCUCCCAAAGACCUUGGGGCUGGUUGAGCUGUGUUCCCAACCUUUGUCUGCUUGGAUUCAUGUAGUGGCAACAGCUGCAGCUUGGGCUGUGUGACCACUCAUGGCAGGAGAGCUGGGCUCUCCCUUCUGCCCUGCCCUGCACACAGCCCACUCACCCUGGCCUGAUCUCCAUGGAGAUACAUGCAUCCAGCACAAAACUCCUACAACUGGGAUACACACCUCAGGUCCAAGAAAAGGAUAAGGACAUGGGGACUAGCCUCCCACAGUUCAAUCAUCUUUGAAUGCAUUUACUUGUAGAAGGAGGAUGAGUUUUUAUAGGCAUAGAGAUGUAAGGCACAACCAGUGCUCUGAGACCACAGAGGAGAAAACUGACAUUUUCCUGUACAGGGACAACACAGAGGUGAACAAAGCUGCAGUGUUGUAAGUAAAGCUGCAUGUCUCUGCAACCAAGGUGCUUUUCACAUAACCUAUGAGGAUUCAGCUCUACCAUCAUCUUUGAUUUCCUAACAUCCAUGCAAAUGUUGUCCAAGACAUGGAUUGUUGGUGAGCAAAGUAAAGGUUACAGUGCAAUCAGCUGCUGUUGCUGCAUGGGACAAUGAGGUCCUGAUGUCUACACUCAGCUGGUCACUGGAAGUGUUCCUGAAGUCUGUACACUAUUGUCAUCAUUGUUGUGAUCUCUGUCAGCAGCACCACCACAUCACUCAGUGAGUUGGACUUGGUCCUUCCAUGGUGUGUAAGUCUCAGGCUUAUCCUUGGCACUGAAAGGAUUGCACCUGCACAUGCUGAUCCUUUUCCAUUUAUUCACAAGCUCUCAGGUUUGAGAGUGGGAGAGCACCCAUGGGUGAAGUGCAGCUGGAAUAAAUUGCACAUGCCAAAGGAUGAAGGAUGGAUGACAAGCCCCCAGGUGUCUAGAGGGCUUUUUUCCCUCAAUGGCUCCUGACUGAAUAAAGCCAUACUGGAGCAUGACAAAGGCACUGAUGGGAUGUGUGUCAUUACCCCCCUAAUUUCAUGAGUUACUGACUGGUGUGUGACUAGCAAGCCUCUCUGAUCCUUUGUCAGGCUGAUCUCAGAGCCAGUCUAUAAUGGCAUAAGGUACUGGUGGCCCUGCUCACCAAAAUGGGAGAGACACAACUCCUCCACACCAGACACAGUCUCUAAAUUCCAUUCCUGAAGAAAAUUCCUAGGGUAGUUACAGAAACUGUGUAUGCCACAUUUUCUUGCCCAGGCCAGUGUCCCAGCAGACCAUGCAGGAUUUCAGUUAUCUUCCCUCUUUCCCUGGUGCCACCUGGGCAUGCCAGAAACUGUGGAUAGCAGUGAGCCAAAACCCUCAUCUCCAAGGCACUCUCCAAGAACCAAUGUACUAUGAGCUCACUUUUAUUAAUUUUGAGUUCUUAUGACAGGAACAAUGCAAAUAUUGACUCCAUCAUGGGAGUGCAAAGGUUUGCCUGCACAGAAAAAACACACGGUAUGCCCAAAACAGUUGUUCUAUAUUCAGUAAGUUUAUUUUGGUCUCAUGUUGGGAUUGACAUAAGUGACUCUUGAAGGGAGUGACCUCUCAUGCCAAGCCCCAGCAGUGUGCACCAGUGCAGCAGCAUCUUCCUGGUACAACAGCAGAGUUUUCAGAGGACCUUUGCAUUUUGCCUCAUGUGGGAAAAUCAUUGCUCUAUGUUAGUUCUUCUGUCACACCCAAGAAAGGAAACCAUAGACAAGUGAAGAAAAAGCAGGUGAAGAGGACAGAUGGACCUAAAACUCUUUGGGGCAAAACUCAAACUUUGAAAUGUCUAUGAGUAACACACCUUGCCAAUACUGCAAAGACUUACUGGUCCAUUGGUCUUCCAGGUGGCCCAUCUCCUCAGGCAGGUGAUAUCUCUCUGCAGAACCACGGGUGGCAUAUCUCUGCAGAACCACGGGUGGUGUCUCUCAGCAGAAUUUCAGCAGAAUGUCUGACACUGUGAGUCAGCAGCCCUUGGAAGCCACUCCAGCCUUGCCGGGGCAGCCAGCAGUGCCCCAGGGCAGGCAUUCCUCCCCAGGAAUGCUGGUCAGCCAGAGGUGUGGGCUGGGCUGGGCUGGCAAAGCUCCUCCUGCAGGAAACAAACAGUGGCUUUGGGGGUGAGGGUGGGAAUACAGUUCAGCGGGAUGCCACUUCUGCCAGAAAAUUCUUAGUCCUCACACAGAAAAAGCCAUUUGCACCUUCCUCCUUCGUUUAAGAAAGCAGUGCUGAUGUCAAGGAACCUCCUCUGAUCCCAACAGAGUCAUGUCCAAGGGGAGGAUGCUAAUGAGAGCUGAGGCUCAGUGAGAAAUGUGGUUAAAUGGAGCUACCACACAAUCAUGUCAAUUCCAUAGCCUAGCAUUGAAAGGAGGAAGAGAAUAACAAUAAAUAUAUA
Passer montanus (Eurasian tree sparrow) is the source of this 3390-nucleotide long non-coding RNA. RefSeq lists it as uncharacterized. The transcript has 2 exons. The record is from RefSeq and is a predicted model, not a curated record. NCBI's taxonomy places the organism in Eukaryota, Metazoa, Chordata, Aves, Passeriformes, Passeridae.